GCUGUUGCUGCUGUUGUAGCUGCUGCUGUUGCUGUGGUUAUGGCUGUUACUAUUGUUACUGCUGCUGUUGCUGUUGCUGUAGCUACUACUGCAGCUGCUGC
RNAcentral lists this small RNA (101 nucleotides) under Marmota monax (woodchuck). Lineage: Eukaryota; Metazoa; Chordata; Mammalia; Rodentia; Sciuridae. The record is from RNAcentral.